RNAcentral lists this ribosomal RNA (579 nucleotides) under Colletotrichum sp. ITCC 6163. RNAcentral describes it as "eukaryotic LSU rRNA". The stretch from base 216 to 369 matches the Rfam family "5.8S ribosomal RNA". Lineage: Eukaryota; Fungi; Ascomycota; Sordariomycetes; Glomerellales; Glomerellaceae. The record is from RNAcentral. RNAcentral also lists the same sequence under 1 other name.
CGUAACAAGGUCUCCGUUGGUGAACCAGCGGAGGGAUCAUUACUGAGUUUACGCUCUAUAACCCUUUGUGAACAUACCUAUAACUGUUGCUUCGGCGGGUAGGGUCCCCGUGACCCUCCCGGCCUCCCGCCCCCCGGGCGGGUCGGCGCCCGCCGGAGGAUAACCAAACUCUGAUUUAACGACGUUUCUUCUGAGUGGUACAAGCAAAUAAUCAAAACUUUUAACAACGGAUCUCUUGGUUCUGGCAUCGAUGAAGAACGCAGCGAAAUGCGAUAAGUAAUGUGAAUUGCAGAAUUCAGUGAAUCAUCGAAUCUUUGAACGCACAUUGCGCCCGCCAGCAUUCUGGCGGGCAUGCCUGUUCGAGCGUCAUUUCAACCCUCAAGCUCUGCUUGGUGUUGGGGCCCUACAGCUGAUGUAGGCCCUCAAAGGUAGUGGCGGACCCUCCCGGAGCCUCCUUUGCGUAGUAACUUUACGUCUCGCACUGGGAUCCGGAGGGACUCUUGCCGUAAAACCCCCAAUUUUCCAAAGGUUGACCUCGGAUCAGGUAGGAAUACCCCGCUGAACUUAAGCAUAUCAAUA